GGCAAGAUGGCCGAGUUGGUUAUGGCGCCAGGUUAAGGAACACCUUAAUUGACAUCUCCUGGUAGGGAAACCUGCGUGGGUUCAAGUCCCACUCUUGUCA
Peziza echinospora is the source of this 100-nucleotide non-coding RNA. The record is from the annotation of a GenBank genome assembly. NCBI's taxonomy places the organism in Eukaryota, Fungi, Ascomycota, Pezizomycetes, Pezizales, Pezizaceae.